Molecule: unclassified non-coding RNA, 395 nt
Filed under: soil metagenome
Description: partial contains 5.8S ribosomal RNA, internal transcribed spacer 2, and large subunit ribosomal RNA
Rfam family: 5.8S ribosomal RNA (bases 1-120)
Source: RNAcentral
GAUGAAGAACGUAGUGAAAUGCGAUAAGUAAUGUGAAUUGCAGAAUUCAGUGAAUCAUCGAAUCUUUGAACGCACCUUGCGCCUUUUGGUAUUCCGAAAGGCACACCUGUUUGAGCGUCAUGAAUACCUCAAUCUCCAUCUUUUCUUCGGAUUGAUGGGUGACUUGGAUGUUGAGCCCUGCUGGUAUGCUAUAUCAGCUGGCUUUAAACUUAUUAGCCGGCUCUGUACUGGAUCGGUUUGACUCGACGUGAUAAUAUUAUCGUUGAGGAUGCAUGUCUCAUGCAGCCGGAAAGUAUCAAAGCAGCUUCUAGCUUGCCUUUAGCGCACUUUUACAUUUUAGACCUCAGAUCAGGUGGGACUACCCGCUGAACUUAAGCAUAUCAAUAAGCGGAGGA